This 637-nucleotide ribosomal RNA is filed under the name Legionella bozemanae. RNAcentral's name for it is "bacterial SSU rRNA". It matches the Rfam family "Bacterial small subunit ribosomal RNA", at positions 233 to 861 of the family's 1533-position model. Lineage: Bacteria; Pseudomonadati; Pseudomonadota; Gammaproteobacteria; Legionellales; Legionellaceae. The record is from RNAcentral.
GCGUCCGAUUAGCUAGUUGGUGGGGUAAGGGCCUACCAAGGCGACGAUCGGUAGCUGGUCUGAGAGGAUGACCAGCCACACUGGAACUGAGACACGGUCCAGACUCCUACGGGAGGCAGCAGUGGGGAAUAUUGGACAAUGGGGGGAACCCUGAUCCAGCAAUGCCGCGUGUGUGAAGAAGGCCUGAGGGUUGUAAAGCACUUUCAGUGGGGAGGAGGGUUGAUAGGUUAAGAGCUAAUUAACUGGACGUUACCCACAGAAGAAGCACCGGCUAACUCCGUGCCAGCAGCCGCGGUAAUACGGAGGGUGCGAGCGUUAAUCGGAAUUACUGGGCGUAAAGCGUGCGUAGGUGGUUGAUUAAGUUAUCUGUGAAAUCCCUGGGCUUAACCUGGGCAGGUCAGAUGAUACUGGUUGACUCGAGUAUGGGAGAGGGUAGUGGAAUUUCCGGUGUAGCGGUGAAAUGCGUAGAGAUCGGAAGGAACACCAGUGGCGAAGGCGGCUACCUGGCCUAAUACUGACACUGAGGCACGAAAGCGUGGGGAGCAAACAGGAUUAGAUACCCUGGUAGUCCACGCUGUAAACGAUGUCAACUAGCUGUUGGUUAUAUGAAAAUAAUUAGUGGCGCAGCAAACGCGAU